This 167-nucleotide ribosomal RNA is filed under the name uncultured rumen bacterium. RNAcentral describes it as "partial 16S ribosomal RNA". It matches the Rfam family "Bacterial small subunit ribosomal RNA", at positions 340 to 524 of the family's 1533-position model. The record is from RNAcentral.
UACGGGAGGCAGCAGUGAGGGAUAUUGCACAAUGGGCGCAACCCUGAUGCAGCGACGCCGCGUGAGUGAAGAAGUAUUUCGGUAUGUAAAGCUCUAUCAGCAGGGAAGAAAAUGACGGUACCUGACUAAGAAGCUCCGGCUAAAUACGUGCCAGCAGCCGCGGUAAU